Molecule: non-coding RNA, 441 nt
Organism: Pelobates cultripes (western spadefoot toad)
Lineage: Eukaryota; Metazoa; Chordata; Amphibia; Anura; Pelobatidae
Source: the annotation of a GenBank genome assembly
UCCAGAAGCCCCAACCUAUAAAGUGGCUAAAUAUAAAGCUUUAACAAGAUAUAUUGUGGCCAACAGUACGAAGUGUAAUUCAUGAUGGUCUUUAAAUCUCAGCACAGGUCAUGCAAAAGAAUGAUGGUCCAGGGACUCAAGUUCUGUCCAGUGGACAGAUUUGUUGGCGCAGAAUCAAAACAACAUUUUGGCCCACUGUCACUGAUACGUCAACUACAAAGGCCCUGUUGUGGGCCGGAACAUUUGAUUGUGCUCAAAUCUGCCUGGAACAUUACUUUUUGCAAAUAACAUUGUGAAGUUGGGCUAACCUCGGGCCCGGUUGCACCCUGCAAUUCAGGACAGUGCGGUAUCAAAAUUGUAAUUAUUUCAGCACUGAUCAUGCCAAUGCAGGAGGUACUGAGAUUGAAAAAUUGGAUCCAUAAACUGAAAUGGCAAAUGACA